Molecule: ribosomal RNA, 442 nt
Filed under: uncultured bacterium
Lineage: Bacteria
Description: partial 16S ribosomal RNA
Rfam family: Bacterial small subunit ribosomal RNA
Source: RNAcentral
CCUACGGGUGGCAGCAGUGGGGGAUAUUGGACAAUGGGGGGAACCCUGAUCCAGCGACGCCGCGUGAGUGAAGAAGUAUCUCGGUAUGUAAAGCUCUAUCAGCCGGGCAGAAGAAAUGACGGUAGCUGAGUAAGAAGCCCCGGCUAACUACGUGCCAGCACCCGCGGGAAUACGUAGGGGGCAGGCGUUCUCCGGGAUUACGGGGUGUAAAGGGAGCGUGGACGGGGAUGUAGGGCUGGAGUGAAAGGCGGGGGGCCAACCCCCGGACUGCUCUGGAAACUAUGUGACUGGAGUGCAGGAGAGGUGAGCGGAAUUCGUAGUGUAGCGGUGAAAUGCGUAGAUAUUAGGAGGAACACCAGUGGCGAAGGCGGCUCACUGGACUGUAACUGACGUUGAGGCUCGAAAGCGUGGGGAGCAAACAGGAUUAGAUACCCGGGUAGUC